Folsomia candida is the source of this 337-nucleotide long non-coding RNA. RefSeq lists it as uncharacterized. NCBI's taxonomy places the organism in Eukaryota, Metazoa, Arthropoda, Collembola, Entomobryomorpha, Isotomidae. The record is from RefSeq and is a predicted model, not a curated record. The transcript has 3 exons.
CUCAGCUCCCAGUUGGGAUUUAGCGUGAAUGAAAAUUGGGAUAAAAUUCGCAACUCGCAUUUCAAUCCGAUCCAACCCGGACUGUUGAGAAAACUCCAGGGAUGAUACCUGCACAAAUACAAAUGUCAUCUGUACAGAAGCUAUACAAGGAAAAAUGUGGACAAAUUAUUAUUGAUGACAGAAUCAUGUCCAUCAAAAAGAGAACAAGUCGCGAAUAAACCGAGUUGAAAUCCUUCUCAAUUUCCUUAAGGGCGACCUCCUCAAUAAAAAGCCAGGGAUGAAUUGGACCCACGGUGGUGCCCGGUUUCCGCAUCCCGCAUUCAAAAAUCCGCUUCAA